GCCCAGACUCCUACGGGAGGCAGCAGUAGGGAAUUUUGCGCAAUGGGGGAAACCCUGACGCAGCAACGCCGCGUGAUUGAUGAAGCCCUUCGGGGUGUAAAGAUCUGUCAGUGGGGACGAAACUUGACGGUACCCACAGAGGAAGCACCGACUAACUACGUGCCAGCAGCCGCGGUAAUACGUAGGGUGCGAGCGUUAAUCGGAAUUACUGGGCGUAAAGGGUGUGCAGGCGGCUGAGUAAGACAGAUGUGAAAUCCCCGGGCUUAACCUGGGAACCGCAUAUGUGACUGCUUGGCUAGAGUGCGUCAGAGGGAGGUGGAAUUCCACGUGUAGCAGUGAAAUGCGUAGAUAUGUGGAAGAACACCGAUGGCGAAGGCAGCCUCCUGGGACGCAACUGACGCUCAUACACGAAAGCGUGGGGAGCAAACAGGAUUAGAUACCCCAGUAACC
This 450-nucleotide ribosomal RNA is filed under the name uncultured bacterium. RNAcentral's name for it is "bacterial SSU rRNA". It matches the Rfam family "Bacterial small subunit ribosomal RNA", at positions 329 to 795 of the family's 1533-position model. The record is from RNAcentral.